This 107-nucleotide ribosomal RNA is filed under the name Planctomycetaceae bacterium. Lineage: Bacteria; Pseudomonadati; Planctomycetota; Planctomycetia; Planctomycetales; Planctomycetaceae. The record is from RNAcentral.
ACCGGUGACAAUAUCGUAAAGGCCCACCUGUUCCCAUCCCGAACACAGUAGUUAAGCUUUCCGAGCCGAUGGUAGUACUGCAAGUGCGAGAGUAGGUAUUGCCGGUU